GUUAGGAAUAUUGGACAAUGGGCGCAAGCCUGAUCCAGCCAUGCCGCGUGAGUGAUGAAGGCCUUCGGGUUGUAAAGCUCUUUAGUCCACGAAUAUAAUGACUGUAGUGGAAGAAUAAGCCCCGGCUAACUUCGUGCCAGCAGCCGCGGUAAUACGAAGGGGGCGAGCGUUAUUCGGAAUCACUGGGCGUAAAGCGUGCGUAGGCUGUUUUGUAAGUCAGAAGUGAAAGCCCAGGGCUUAACCCUGGAAUUGCUUUUGAAACUACAAGACUCGAAUUCGGGAGAGGAUAGCGGAAUUGUCAGUGUAGCAGUGAAAUGCGUAGAUAUUGACAGGAACACCAGUGGCGCAAGCGGCUAUCUGGACCGAUAUUGACGCUGAGGCACGAAAGCGUGGGGAGCAAACAGGAUUAGAUACCCUAGUAGUCC
Molecule: ribosomal RNA, 425 nt
Filed under: uncultured bacterium
Lineage: Bacteria
Description: bacterial SSU rRNA
Rfam family: Bacterial small subunit ribosomal RNA
Source: RNAcentral